Molecule: ribosomal RNA, 253 nt
Filed under: uncultured bacterium
Lineage: Bacteria
Description: partial 16S ribosomal RNA
Rfam family: Bacterial small subunit ribosomal RNA
Source: RNAcentral
UACGUAGGUGGCGAGCGUUGUCCGGAUUUAUUGGGUUUAAAGGGCUCGUAGGCGGUUUGUCGCGUCGGGAGUGAAAACGCCGUGCUUAACACGGCGCUUGCUUUCGAUACGGGCAGACUAGAGGUAUGCAGGGGAGAACGGAAUUCCUGGUGUAGCGGUGAAAUGCGCAGAUAUCAGGAGGAACACCGGUGGCGAAGGCGGUUCUCUGGGCCUGUUCUGACGCUGAGGUGCGAAAGCUGGGGGAGCAAACAGG